Molecule: long non-coding RNA, 1761 nt
Organism: Notothenia coriiceps (black rockcod)
Lineage: Eukaryota; Metazoa; Chordata; Actinopteri; Perciformes; Nototheniidae
Exons: 2
Source: RefSeq, a predicted model, not a curated record
UCUUCCCAACAGGUGGUGAAAAGUGGAUCUUCAGAGACUCGGGUGGAGAAGAGAAUCGUCAUAACUGCAGAGUCUGACUUUGACCAAGAUAUGGAGAGAGACGGCGGAGCAUCAGCAUUGUGAAUCAACACCUGCAUUUACCCUUUGGCUCUUCACCUCAGACACACACCGACCGGCUCUACCUGCGCACACAUAUCCCAGGACAAUAUCUCGUAAAUAUGCACCUACCUUUAUAGGUGAAAGAGUAGAUACAUCUAAGUAGAUCCUCUUUGUUUUUCCAGUUAUACGUAGUGGGGGGGGCUGCACAGUGCUCAAGUCUACGGCUUAUCUCAUACUGGUGUUAAAAAGCUUACUAUACAAUCUUUUAUUGGUUAAAAAAACAUCAUUUUCAGUCUAGUGAUCUAAGUUAUGUUUGCUUUUAAAUGCUUUUAUUUUCCUAGUGGUUUUUACAUUUUUUGGUUUUAUACAAAUGCACUGUUUCAAUUCUAGUAUAGACACCAUUAUCAGCAUUUAUUCCCUUGGUGAUGCUGGGGGAACGUUAAGACUACAUUCAAGGGAAUUAUUUUUGUUUACAUGUCUAUUUAAUUCAAGAGAAAGAAUUGUUUAAAACAAAAUGACGUACCUCGCAUCAAUAAGUGAGCAAAGACAUUCUGUGCUUAAAUGUGGACAGUUGUUCCCUGCUCAGUUACAAAAACAAAAAGUCAAAAGCAAGUUCUUCACUAACCAGCCAAGAACCAGCAGCCUACACAUUAUUGUAAAGUUUUAAUCCAAAAAUUGAUCUAUUUUCAAAUAUUUCUCUAUUUUAUAGAAUUAAUGCUUUUAUAGAAUGUUUACACAUUUGAGGUUUUUAAGUUAUUCAUCCAUCUGCUCGUGGAAUUGCAGGUUACCAUUGUGCUGUUUACUGAACUUUGAGGUCUCUACUAAAGACCUGUCUUGCCUGAAUCAUUCUUAUUCGUUUCCUCUUGUAGUCCACCAAGUUUAUCAAACCUUUAACAAUAAGACAAGGGAGUGCUUCCCUCAGCCCUUUGUUUUGUUCAGUAGUAGAAAGUCAUAUUUCUUUUAAUAUAUUUGGUUGAUAAGAAAAGUUUUACAAGCUUUGGUCUGUUAAUCUCAGGUUUUGAUAUUCUUUGUAAGACUACAGACCUCCAUAUGAUUGUACGAGGAAUGUCCAUAUAUGUAUACCCAGCCAAGUGAGGUCAAUACAUGCAAAGCUGGUUUGUCCCAGUAACCGUGCGAGAGGAGGUACAGGCAGCUGUCCCAGUAUAUAUGUGGCUUUUCUCUCAUAGGAGCACAAGUUGUCUUUUUUACAUGUUCUACUAUACAGUAAUUUAUUUGUAAAGUAGGAACUGUUGUGUGAUUUGAUGUACUGUGAUGUUUCAACACAAGCUGUUUUCCAGGCUUUCACUAGAGAUGUCACAAUGUUAAAUAUUGCAUUAAUUAUCAACCAAGUUUGUAAAGCCUUUUUACCACAUAGUCUAAGUAGAUUGCUCACACUUGCUGUUUCCUGUGCUUUUUCAUAGAAGAGAAAACACUUAAAAUAUAUGAAUCCCUUUUUAGAUAGCAUGUUUGUUAGCCAUUUGUUUUUUUUCUACCCAAAAAUAAGCCAUUGGUAUUGUAGCUACAUGGACAACAACAGAAACCUCUCCUGGAAGAAAAUGUAGAAUUUCACAUGAAGAAAAUAGUUGUUAGACAAUGGAAAAUAUUUUUGCUUUGUGACUUAUCCCUGUCUUUUUAUGAAAUAAUAAAAUAUGCAUAAUUUUG